This 242-nucleotide unclassified non-coding RNA is filed under the name Glomeraceae sp. RNAcentral's name for it is "partial contains 5.8S ribosomal RNA and internal transcribed spacer 2". The stretch from base 1 to 71 matches the Rfam family "5.8S ribosomal RNA", at positions 84 to 154 of the family's 154-position model. Lineage: Eukaryota; Fungi; Glomeromycota; Glomeromycetes; Glomerales; Glomeraceae. The record is from RNAcentral.
GUGAAUCAUCGAAUUUUUGAACGCAAAUUGCGCUUCCUGGCAUCCCGGGAAGCAUGCCUGUUUGAGGAUCAGUAUUUCUAAAAACUCGGUUUAGUUACAAAUUGUGACGUUUCUGGAGUUUGCGCUGUCUUAACGUUUUUGGUUAAGAUGCUUAAAAUUGACCUUUUUUGCGCUUUUUUACACGUACAUAAAUUUUUUUAUUCGUCUAUUCUUAAUGCCAAAAUCUUAUUAGAUGCUACCAC